GACGAACGCUGGCGACGUGCCUAACACAUGCAAGUCGAACGCGCUCCAUUCGGUAGCAAUACCGAUGAAGAGCGAGUGGCGAACGGGUGAGUAGCACGUGAGCAACCUGCCCCGAAGACCGGGACAACACCGGGAAACCGGUGCUAAUACCGGAUAUCCCUAUCGGACCGCAUGAUCUGAUAAGGAAAUGGAUUCCGCUUCGGGAGGGGCUCGCGGCCUAUCAGCUAGUUGGUGGGGUAACGGCCUACCAAGGCAUCGACGGGUAGCUGGUCUGAGAGGACGAUCAGCCACACUGGGACUGAGACACGGCCCAGACUCCUACGGGAGGCAGCAGUGGGGAAUCUUGCGCAAUGGGCGAAAGCCUGACGCAGCAACGCCGCGUGGAGGACGAAGGCUUUCUGAGUUGUAAACUCCUUUCAGCAGGGACGAUAGUGACGGUACCUGCAGAAGAAGCACCGGCCAACUACGUGCCAGCAGCCGCGGUGAUACGUAGGGUGCAAGCGUUGUCCGGAUUUAUUGGGCGUAAAGAGCUCGUAGGCGGUUUGAUAAGUCGGGUGUGAAACCUCCAGGCUCAACCUGGAGCCGCCACUCGAUACUGUCAUGACUAGAAUUCGGUAGGGGACCACGGAAUUCCUGGUGUAGCGGUGAAAUGCGCAGAUAUCAGGAGGAACACCAGCAGCGAAGGCGGUGGUCUGGGCCGGUACUGACGCUGAUGAGCGAAAGCGUGGGGAGCGAACAGGAUUAGAUACCCUGGUAGUCCACGCCGUAAACGUUGGGCACUAGGUGUGGGGCCUAUUCAACGGGUUCCGUGCCGCAGCUAACGCAUUAAGUGCCCCGCCUGGGGAGUACGGCCGCAAGGCUA
Molecule: ribosomal RNA, 862 nt
Filed under: uncultured bacterium
Lineage: Bacteria
Description: bacterial SSU rRNA
Rfam family: Bacterial small subunit ribosomal RNA
Source: RNAcentral